ACGGGAGGCAGCAGUGGGGAAUAUUGGGCAAUGGGGGAAACCCUGACCCAGCAACGCCGCGUGAAGGAAGAAGGCUUUCGGGUUGUAAACUUCUUUUACCAGGGACGAAGGACGUGACGGUACCUGGAGAAAAAGCCACGGCUAACUACGUGCCAGCAGCCGCGGUAAUACGUAGGUAGCGAGCGUUGCCCGGAAUUACUGGGUGUAAAGGGAGUGUAGGCGGGUUAUCAAGUCCGUUGUUAAAUCUCACGGCUCAACCGUGAGCUGCGGCGGAAACUGAUGAUCUUGAGUGAGGUAGAGGCAAGCGGAAUUCCACGUGUAGCGGUGAAAUGCGUAGAGAUGUGGAAGAACACCAGUGGCGAAGGCGGCUUGCUGGGCCUUAACUGACGCUGAGGCUCGAAAGUGUGGGGAGCAAACAGGAUUAGAUACCCUGGUA
The sequence is a ribosomal RNA, 436 nucleotides long. It matches the Rfam family "Bacterial small subunit ribosomal RNA", at positions 341 to 792 of the family's 1533-position model.